RNAcentral lists this transfer RNA (89 nucleotides) under Candidatus Cloacimonadota bacterium. RNAcentral's name for it is "tRNA-Leu". It matches the Rfam family "tRNA". From Rfam's summary of the family: Transfer RNA (tRNA) molecules are approximately 80 nucleotides in length. Their secondary structure includes four short double-helical elements and three loops (D, anti-codon, and T loops). Lineage: Bacteria; Pseudomonadati; Candidatus Cloacimonadota. The record is from RNAcentral.
GCUGUUGUGGUGGCAUAUAAGAGACACAAGGGACUUAAGAUCCCUUGAUAGCAAGUAUCGUGCGGGUUCGAUUCCCGCCAAUAAUACCA